RNAcentral lists this ribosomal RNA (790 nucleotides) under uncultured bacterium. RNAcentral's name for it is "bacterial SSU rRNA". It matches the Rfam family "Bacterial small subunit ribosomal RNA", at positions 77 to 847 of the family's 1533-position model. The record is from RNAcentral.
GGAUUUGCAGGACGUCGAGCGGCGGACGGGUGAGUAACGGCUGGGAACCUGCCCUGACGAGGGGGAUAACCGUUGGAAACGACGGCUAAUACCGCAUAAUGUCUUGAUUCGUUAGAGUCAGGACCAAAGGUGGCCUCUACAUGUAAGCUAUCGCGUUGGGAUGGGCCCAGUUAGGAUUAGCUAGUUGGUAAGGUAAUGGCUUACCAAGGCAACGAUCCUUAGCUGGUUUGAGAGGAUGAUCAGCCACACUGGGACUGAGACACGGCCCAGACUCCUACGGGAGGCAGCAGUGGGGAAUAUUGCACAAUGGGGGAGACCCUGAUGCAGCCAUGCCGCGUGUGUGAAGAAGGCCUUCGGGUUGUAAAGCACUUUCAGCAGUGAGGAAGGUCGUGUACUUAAUACGUGCACGGCUUGACGUUAGCUGCAGAAGAAGCACCGGCUAACUCCGUGCCAGCAGCCGCGGUAAUACGGAGGGUGCGAGCGUUAAUCGGAAUUACUGGGCGUAAAGCGCAUGCAGGCGGUUUGUUAAGUCAGAUGUGAAAGCCCGGGGCUCAACCUCGGAACCGCAUUUGAAACUGGCAGGCUAGAGUCUUGUAGAGGGGGGUAGAAUUUCAGGUGUAGCGGUGAAAUGCGUAGAGAUCUGAAGGAAUACCAGUGGCGAAGGCGGCCCCCUGGACAAAGACUGACGCUCAGAUGCGAAAGCGUGGGUAGCAAACAGGAUUAGAUACCCUGGUAGUCCACGCCGUAAACGCUGUCUACUUGGAGGUUGAGGUUUUAGACUUUGGCUUUC